Molecule: ribosomal RNA, 484 nt
Filed under: Keissleriella cladophila
Lineage: Eukaryota; Fungi; Ascomycota; Dothideomycetes; Pleosporales; Lentitheciaceae
Description: SSU rRNA
Rfam family: Eukaryotic small subunit ribosomal RNA
Source: RNAcentral
GAAGGGGUGUAUUUAUUAGAUAAAAAACCAAUGCCCUCCGGGGCUGCUUGGUGAUUCAUAAUAACUUCUCAGAUCGCAUGGCCUUGCGCCGGCGACGGUUCAUUCAAAUUUCUGCCCUAUCAACUUUCGAUGGUACGGUAGUGGCCUACCAUGGUUUCAACGGGUAACGGGGAAUUAGGGUUUGAUUCCGGAGAGGGAGCCUGAGAAACGGCUACCACAUCCAAGGAAGGCAGCAGGCGCGCAAAUUACCCAAUACCGAUACGGUGAGGUAGUGACAAUAAAUACUGAUACAGGGCUCUUUAGGGUCUUGUAAUUGGAAUGAGUACAAUUUAAACCUCUUAACGAGGAACAAUUGGAGGGCAAGUCUGGUGCCAGCAGCCGCGGUAAUUCCAGCUCCAAUAGCGUAUAUUAAAGUUGUUGCAGUUAAAAAGCUCGUAGUUGAACCUUUGGCCUGGCUGGCUGGUCCGCCUCACCGCGUGCACUA